This 71-nucleotide transfer RNA is filed under the name Enterococcus sp. Its description in RNAcentral is "tRNA-Met". It matches the Rfam family "tRNA". From Rfam's summary of the family: Transfer RNA (tRNA) molecules are approximately 80 nucleotides in length. Their secondary structure includes four short double-helical elements and three loops (D, anti-codon, and T loops). The record is from RNAcentral. Lineage: Bacteria; Bacillati; Bacillota; Bacilli; Lactobacillales; Enterococcaceae.
GCCAGUAUAGCUCAAUGGUAGAGCAUUCGGCUCAUAACCGAAUUGUGGAAGUUCGAUUCUUCCUACCGGCA